RNAcentral lists this ribosomal RNA (440 nucleotides) under Nassarius sp. SZ-2011. RNAcentral describes it as "partial 12S ribosomal RNA". It matches the Rfam family "Microsporidia small subunit ribosomal RNA", at positions 638 to 1218 of the family's 1311-position model. The record is from RNAcentral. Lineage: Eukaryota; Metazoa; Mollusca; Gastropoda; Neogastropoda; Nassariidae.
UUUAAAGCUUCCAACUGGGAUUAGAUACCCCACUAUUCUUGAUUGUAAAUGCAAUUAAAUUUACCAGAGUACUAUGAAUAGUUAAAAAUUUAAAACUCAAAGGGCUUGGCGGUGUUUUAGACCUAUCAGGGGAACCUGUCUCGUAAUCGACAAUCCACGCAAUAUCUAACCCAACUUUGUUAAUCAGUUUGUAUACCGUCGUCGUCAGGUAACUUUUAAAAAUAUAGAAGUUAGCAAUUAAAACUUAUUAGUUAAAACGUCAGAUCAAGGUGCAGCCUAUGGUAGGGAGAGGAUGGGUUACAGUUAUAAAAUUUAUAAUUACGGAAAUUUAAAUGGAACUUAUUUUGAAGGAGGACUUGAAAGUAAACUAAAAUACAUAAACAGUUUGAAUGAGGCUCUGAAACGUGCACACACCGCCCGUCACCCUCCUGCAGUCAAAA